Molecule: small RNA, 33 nt
Filed under: Arabidopsis thaliana (thale cress)
Lineage: Eukaryota; Viridiplantae; Streptophyta; Magnoliopsida; Brassicales; Brassicaceae
Description: ATSL069260
Source: RNAcentral
UUUCUUCUUCUUCUUCCUCUUCUUAUUCUUCCA